RNAcentral lists this ribosomal RNA (1039 nucleotides) under Klebsiella sp. KALAICIBA6. RNAcentral's name for it is "bacterial SSU rRNA". It matches the Rfam family "Bacterial small subunit ribosomal RNA", at positions 40 to 1070 of the family's 1533-position model. The record is from RNAcentral. Lineage: Bacteria; Pseudomonadati; Pseudomonadota; Gammaproteobacteria; Enterobacterales; Enterobacteriaceae.
GGGGAGGUGUAUCUAUUGCUCGUCGAGCGGUAGCAAGGAGAGCUUGCUCUGGGGUGACGAGCGGCGGACGGGUGAGUAAUGUCUGGGAAACUGCCUGAUGGAGGGGGAUAACUACUGGAAACGGUAGCUAAUACCGCAUAAUGUCGCAAGACCAAAGUGGGGGACCUUCGGGCCUCAUGCCAUCAGAUGUGCCCAGAUGGGAUUAGCUAGUAGGUGGGGUAACGGCUCACCUAGGCGACGAUCCCUAGCUGGUCUGAGAGGAUGACCAGCCACACUGGAACUGAGACACGGUCCAGACUCUUACGGGAGGCAGCAGUGGGGAAUAUUGCACAAUGGGCGCAAGCCUGAUGCAGCCAUGCGGGGUGUGUGAAGAAGGCCUUCGGGUUGUAAAGCACUUUCGGCGGGGAGGAGGGCGGGGAGGUUAAUAACCUCACCGAUUGGCGUUACCCGCAGAAGAAGCACCGGCUACUUCCGUGCCAGCGGCCGGGGUAAUACGGAGGGUGCAGCCGUUAAUCGGAAUUAUUGGGCCUAAAGCGCACACCGGGGGUUUGUCAAGUCGGAUGUGAAAUUCCCGGGUUCAACCCUGGAACUGCUUCCGAAACUGCCAAGCUAGAGUCUUGUAGAGAGGGGGAGAUUUCGGUGUGCAGCGGUGAAAUGCGUAGAGAUUUGGAGAAUUACCGGUGCCGGAGGCGGCCCCCCUGACAAAGGCUGACGCUUAGGUGUGCAAGCGGGGACAACGGAUAAAACCUGGUAGUCAGCCGAAACAUGUNAUUGGAGGUGUCCCUUGAGAGGUUCCGGACUUCGGGCGUAAUCACCGUUGCUGACGCGCUAAAACAACUCCAUAGUGAGUACGGCCGCACAGUCGAGACUUGUGUUAUUCAUCAGGAACCCGCACUACUGUCUGAUUCUGACUUCUAAUUCGGUCUCUCGCGUGAAACCCUGAUGCUUCCUCUGUUCCAUAGAAGUCUCACGACAUCUAUCUUUGCCUGUCGGAACCGAGAUGCAGAUACUGCAUGGCUGGCGUCAGCUCGUGGUACGA